RNAcentral lists this ribosomal RNA (253 nucleotides) under uncultured bacterium. RNAcentral's name for it is "partial 16S ribosomal RNA". It matches the Rfam family "Bacterial small subunit ribosomal RNA", at positions 524 to 776 of the family's 1533-position model. The record is from RNAcentral.
UACGAGGACCCCAAGCGUUAUCCGGAAUUACUGGGCGUAAAGCGUGAGCAUCCGGUUUUGCUAGUCUCAUGUUAAAUUUCACUGCUCAACGGUGAAACCGCGUGGGAAACGGCAAGACUAGAGUGGGUAAGAGGCAAGCGGAACGUGCAGUGUAGGGGUGAAAUCCAUUGAUAUUGCACGGAACACCAAAAGCGAAAGCAGCUUGCUAGUGCUCUACUGACGGUCAAUCACUAAAGCGUGGGGAUCAAAAAGG